RNAcentral lists this ribosomal RNA (468 nucleotides) under uncultured bacterium. Its description in RNAcentral is "partial 16S ribosomal RNA". It matches the Rfam family "Bacterial small subunit ribosomal RNA", at positions 28 to 507 of the family's 1533-position model. The record is from RNAcentral.
GAUGAACGCUGGCGGCGUGCCUAAUACAUGCAAGUCGAACGGAAAGGCCCUGUUCUUGUGGGGUGUCCGAGAGCCGAACGGGUGAGUAACACGCGAGUAACCUGGCCUCGACGUUGGGAUAACUUGAGGAAACUGGUGCUUAUACCGGAUAGGUGUCUCUGCUGCAUGGUGUUUGUUGGAUAUGUUCGGCGGUUGGGUAUGGACUCGCGGCUUAUCAGCUUGUUGGUGGGGUAGUGGCUUACCAAGGCUUUGACGGGUAGCCGGCCUGAGAGGGUGACCGGCCACAUUGGGACUGAGAUACGGCCCAGACUCCUACGGGAGGCAGCAGUGGGGAAUAUUGCACAAUGGGCGGAAGCCUGAUGCAGCAACGCCGCGUGCGGGAUGACGGCCUUCGGGUUGUAAACCGCUUUCGCCUGUGACGAAGCGUGAGUGACGGUAAUGGGUAAAGAAGCACCGGCUAACUACGUG